Molecule: long non-coding RNA, 2226 nt
Filed under: Daucus carota (carrot)
Lineage: Eukaryota; Viridiplantae; Streptophyta; Magnoliopsida; Apiales; Apiaceae
Description: long non-coding RNA (DCAR_LNC002053)
Source: RNAcentral
UGAAAUGGCCAAGUGCUCUGCACGGCUACUCCCACUAUACACACACCCUAGCCUAGCUUUGUAAUAGAAAUAUCAGUAGUGGUUAGAGUUUGUAAUAUUGAGAGUAGUGGCCAUUGUAGCCAACCUUCGGGUUUGGAUUUGUAGCACCUUCGAGGUAUUUAUCAAUAUACAGAUAUACCUUGGAAAAUAUUGUGUGUUGGUUUGAUAUUUUCAUAUCCUCAGAACCGACCAGAUAUAUAUCCGGAACACGAAACCCAUUACAGGACUGCAAUUUGUUUAUCCGCAAGAUUCGAAAGAAUUUUAAAUUGUAGUGAGUAUCGUAUUCAACCCCCCCCCCCUUCUACGAUACUUUGGACCUAACACAAAUGCCCUGCCUCUGCAAGAUAUGCCAAAACCUACUGUUCACUGACAUACAUCAAGCUUUCACAGAGAUCCAUAUGGGGAAGUGACAUUUUAUAUAUGUGUGCACUUAUAUAUUUGUAUAUGUACAAAUAUAUUUAUAUGUAUAUAUAUAUGUAUAUUUUAUUAAAUAUAAUAUAUAUAAUAUAUAUGUAUAUAUGUUUGUAAACAUAUGUAUAUGUAUAUUUAUAUGUAUAUAUAUUUAAAUAAAUAUAUAUGUAUAUAAUAUAUGUAUUUAUAUUUUACAUAAGCAUUUAUAUAAUUAAGUGUAUAUAUAUAUUAUAUUAUGUGCAUAAAUAUAUGUAUAUUUAGAGAGAGUUAUAUAUAUCUUUAUAUAUAUAUUUAUAUUUAUAUUUACACAUAGUUAUAUGUAUAUUAUAUAUAUUUAAAUAUAUGAGAAUAUAUUUAAAUAUAUGUGUAUAUAUAUGUUACUAUAUGUUUAUAUAAAUAUUAUAUAUAUGUAUAUAUUUAUAUAUACUUUUCUUUAUAUAUAUUUAUGUUUAUAUUUAUAUUUAUAAAUAACUAUAUAUAUCUCUAUAUAUAUUUAUAUAUAUUUAUAUUUGUAUUUACAUAUAAUUAUAUAUUAUAUAUAUUUAAAUAUAUGAGAAUAUAUUUAAAUAUAUGUACAUAUAUUAUUAUAUGUUCAUAUAAAUAAUAUACAUAUCUGUAUAUAUUUAUAUAUACUUUUAUUUAUUAAUAUAAACACAAUAUAAUAUAUUAUAUUAUAUAUAUGAUGCAUGCAUGGAGAUGAUGUCAUUUGUCUAGGGCACUCUAGGGAUAAUGUCAUUUGUCUAGGGCACUCUAGGGUUUACUUGUGUGGCACCUGGGCUAUAUAAUGCAACGGAGUGGCGCUAUUCUUUCUUCUACCUGUAUGCUAGUGUAUGUUGAUGUUGUAUGAAGACUAAGGCGGGAGUAUAGAUACACGGCAGUAUGGAGCGACACUUGCAUGCUUCCAGAUUUUGUCUAAGGUUGGCGCAACUUCCUUGAUCACCCUGGUUAAUGUUAGUGGGGCCACUAUCAACCAGGAGUGAUAACAUUGUACAUACUGUGGUGAUUGAGUGAUUGAGCGCCAGUUGACGUGAGCCCAGCAGAAACUAAGGCAAAAAUAAAUAUUAUGUACAGGCUUACUCAUGGAGGUGCAAGGUUGCUAUUUACUCAAUUAACCAUGCUCCAUCCUGUGUAGAACACUGGUAUAACAUGGGGGGCAGUAUUGUACAUUUAUAGUUUGCGCUGGUUGCUUAUAGUGGACACAGUGAGUCUAGGCAAAUCCAACAGCAAUACUCAUAGCUACUACUGUGCAAGGAGUGGUGCCACGUUCUAACCUGGAUUACCUGGCGCAAGUUCAGGUAACACAAGCUGGUUAAUUUAUUAACCAUGAGUGAUAUCAGUUGUACAGUGGAGAACAUCGCAACUUCAUGUCUUUAGUAACCACGGUAGGCGCAAGUUUUUGUUCCUUGGAUUUAUUCCAAGUCAAAACAACUUGUGCAUAGAGUGGAUGAAGGUGGCGCAAACUCAAGAGGCGCCAACUCAAUUUUGUUAACUAGGGUUAGUUUAUGAAAAGCCUAUAAAUACCCCAUGUGUGUUCUCACAAUUGUAACACACACUCUUGACACAUAUUGUACAACCUCUCUCCACACAACACCUUAGCUUACCACACCAAAAGAAAUAUAUUUUUAGAAGCUAGGGGUUGUAGUGUUUGUAUCAAUAGUCAUUGUAGCCAACCUUCGGGUUUGGAUUUAUAGCACCCUUCGAGGUAUUUAUCAAUAUACAGAUAUACCUUGGAAAAUAUUGUGUGUUGAUUUAAUAUUUUCAUAUCCUCAGAAACCG